Molecule: ribosomal RNA, 428 nt
Filed under: uncultured bacterium
Lineage: Bacteria
Description: partial 16S ribosomal RNA
Rfam family: Bacterial small subunit ribosomal RNA
Source: RNAcentral
UGAGGAAUUUUGGACACUGGGCGAAAGCCUGAUCCAGCUACAUCGCGUGGGUGAAGAAGACUGUAUUGGUUGUAAAACCCUUAACUCUUUUAGAGAUUCUGACAAAAAAAGAGAAAAAGUCCCGGCUAAUUUCGUGCCAGCAGCCGCGGUAAGACGAGAGGGGCGAGCGUUAUUCGGAAUGAUUGGGCGUAAAGCGCACGUAGACAGUUUAGAGAAUCAAAAAGAAAAAUCUCAAGACACAAUCUUGAAACUUCUUUUCUUAGACCAAUUCUGGUGUAAUACAAGAUUACUAAACUCGAGUAAGUAAAAAGAGAAUGGAAUUCCUGGCGUAGAGGUAAAAUUUGUUGAUACCAGGAGGAACACCAAAGGCGAAGGCAAUUCUCUAGUGCUUGACUGACGUUGAGGUGCGACAGCGUGGGGAUCAAAAG